UACGUAGGCAGCAAGCGUUGUUCGGAGUUACUGGGCGUAAAGGGUGCGUAGGCGGCUUUUUAAGUUUGGUGUGAAAUCUCCCGGCUCAACUGGGAGGGUGCGCCGAAUACUGAGAAGCUAGAGUGUGGGAGAGGAAAGUGGAAUUCCUGGUGUAGCGGUGAAAUGCGUAGAUAUCAGGAGGAACACCGGUGGUGUAAACGGCUUUCUGGACCAUAACUGACGCUGAGGCACGAAAGCGUGGGUAGCAAACAGG
Molecule: ribosomal RNA, 253 nt
Filed under: uncultured bacterium
Lineage: Bacteria
Description: partial 16S ribosomal RNA
Rfam family: Bacterial small subunit ribosomal RNA
Source: RNAcentral